GAUGAACGCUGGCGGCGUGCCUAAUACAUGCAAGUCGAGCGAACAGACGAGGAGCUUGCUCCUCUGACGUUAGCGGCGGACGGGUGAGUAACACGUGGAUAACCUACCUAUAAGACUGGGAUAACUUCGGGAAACCGGAGCUAAUACCGGAUAAUAUAUUGAACCGCAUGGUUCAAUAGUGAAAGACGGUUUUGCUGUCACUUAUAGAUGGAUCCGCGCCGCAUUAGCUAGUUGGUAAGGUAACGGCUUACCAAGGCAACGAUGCGUAGCCGACCUGAGAGGGUGACCGGCCACAGUGGGACUGAGAGGCGGGCGAGAGUCAUACGGGAGGCAGCAGUGGGGAAUAUGGCACAAUGGGGGGAAGCGGGAUGCAGCAACGCCGCGUGCGGGAUGACGGUCUUAGGGGUGAAAAACGAUUUCGCCUGUGACGAAGCGUGAGUGACGGUAAUGGGUAAAGAAGCACCGGCUAACUACGUG
RNAcentral lists this ribosomal RNA (477 nucleotides) under uncultured bacterium. RNAcentral's name for it is "partial 16S ribosomal RNA". It matches the Rfam family "Bacterial small subunit ribosomal RNA", at positions 28 to 507 of the family's 1533-position model. The record is from RNAcentral.